AGAUGGGUUAAAAAUAAGUGCCGAUGACUACUACGAAGUCGCUCUAGCCGCAUAAAAAGACGGCUAGCGUCCUUUGGUCAUUGCCUGUGAGGCCAAGGGGCGUAGGAAAGCAGGCUAGUCUUAUCGGUCUUACCUGUGGGCCGGUAAGAUGAAAUGAACACAGGUUAGCUCUCUGCAGACCGUGCCCGGCCGUGUUGCAGAGGGUGAAAAAUAGAGUCGGGCUAUGGAUGUAGAAGCCUGAGUGGAAGGUUUCCGGACGAGGGUUCGAGUCCCUCCGCCUCCAUUU
Molecule: transfer-messenger RNA, 286 nt
Filed under: Deltaproteobacteria bacterium
Lineage: Bacteria; Pseudomonadati; Myxococcota; Myxococcia
Description: partial transfer-messenger RNA
Rfam family: transfer-messenger RNA
About the family: Bacterial tmRNA, also known as 10Sa RNA or SsrA, is named for its dual tRNA and mRNA-like properties. Its role is to liberate the mRNA from a stalled ribosome. To accomplish this part of the tmRNA is used as a reading frame that ends in a translation stop signal.
Source: RNAcentral